RNAcentral lists this ribosomal RNA (464 nucleotides) under uncultured bacterium. RNAcentral's name for it is "partial 16S ribosomal RNA". It matches the Rfam family "Bacterial small subunit ribosomal RNA", at positions 339 to 795 of the family's 1533-position model. The record is from RNAcentral.
CUACGGGACGCUGCAGUGGGGAAUUUUGGACAAUGGGGGCAACCCUGAUCCAGCCAUUCCGCGUGAGUGAAGAAGGCCUUCGGGUUGUAAAGCUCUUUCGGCAGGAACGAAACGGUGAGGGCCAAUACCCCUUAUCAAUGACGGUACCUGAAGAAGAAGCACCGGCUAACUACGUGCCAGCAGCCGCGGUAAUACGUAGGGUGCGAGCGUUAAUCGGAAUUACUGGGCGUAAAGCGUGCGCAGGCGGUUGUGUAAGACAGGUGUGAAAUCCCCGGGCUUAACCUGGGAACUGCGCUUGUGACUGCACGACUCGAGUGUGGCAGAGGGGGGUGGAAUUCCACGUGUAGCAGUGAAAUGCGUAGAGAUGUGGAGGAACACCGAUGGCGAAGGCAGCCCCCUGGGUUAACACUGACGCUCAUGCACGAAAGCGUGGGUAGCAAACAGGAUUAGAUACCCUCGUAGUC